Long non-coding RNA from Parus major (Great Tit), 266 nucleotides. RefSeq lists it as uncharacterized. NCBI's taxonomy places the organism in Eukaryota, Metazoa, Chordata, Aves, Passeriformes, Paridae. The transcript has 3 exons. The record is from RefSeq and is a predicted model, not a curated record.
GAAGGAGAAAGGCUGGAAUAGAGGAGGAGAUGAAGACCUGCUCCAUUCAGGAUCUGGUGUAUUAUUCUGGCUCUCUGUCAAUACAUGCAAGCAGCAGCAGGACAAAAGCUUUAAUGCUUCACAGUUUGUAACAAGAAGCAGAAAAUACAGCAGAGCAAGUUCCAGUCAUGUUUGCCUGGUCUCUGUGUCAUCCCAGGAGGACAAAUGCACACAAAGGUACCAAUCAGAUUUUUGCAAAUCAUGCCUCUGGAUUCACAGUCAUGGAG